This 82-nucleotide transfer RNA is filed under the name Pseudopedinella elastica. RNAcentral describes it as "tRNA-Tyr". It matches the Rfam family "tRNA". Rfam says of the family: Transfer RNA (tRNA) molecules are approximately 80 nucleotides in length. Their secondary structure includes four short double-helical elements and three loops (D, anti-codon, and T loops). The record is from RNAcentral. Lineage: Eukaryota; Dictyochophyceae; Pedinellales.
GGGUCGGUGCCCGAGUGGUUAAAGGGGGCGGAUUGUAAAUCCGCUGGUUAUUCCUACGUUGGUUCAAAUCCAACCCGGCCUA